UGGACAAUGGGCGCAAGUCUUAUCCAGCCAUGCCGCUUGAGUGAAGAAGGCUUUCGGGUUGUAAAGCUCUUUCGUACGGAAAGAAAUCGCUCAGGCUCAUUCCCUUCGCGGAUGACGUUACCGCCAUAAGAAGCACCGGCUUACUUCUUUCCAGCGACCGCAGUAAUACGUAGGGUGCGAGCGUUAAUCGGAAUUACUGGGCGUAAAGCGUGCGCAGGCGGUUGAUUAAGACAGGCGUGAAAUCCCCGGGCUUAACCUGGGAACUGCGCUUGUGACUGGUCAGCUAGAGUACGGCAGAGGGGGGUGGAAUUCCACGUGUAGCAGUGAAAUGCGUAGAGAUGUGGAGGAACACCGAUGGCGAAGGCAGCCCCCUGGGCCGAUACUGACGCUCAUGCACGAAAGCGUGGGUAGCAAACAGG
RNAcentral lists this ribosomal RNA (419 nucleotides) under uncultured bacterium. Its description in RNAcentral is "partial 16S ribosomal RNA". It matches the Rfam family "Bacterial small subunit ribosomal RNA", at positions 365 to 776 of the family's 1533-position model. The record is from RNAcentral.